Molecule: long non-coding RNA, 3531 nt
Filed under: Androctonus crassicauda
Lineage: Eukaryota; Metazoa; Arthropoda; Arachnida; Scorpiones; Buthidae
Source: RNAcentral
AAAUUAUACAGUGCUGUAUUAAUUUUUUUUAAUAUAUAUAUUUUGAUAUUUUCAUAAAACAUCAAUAUCUUAUUUAUAGAUAUAUGUAGAUGUGUGUGUGAUAUAUAUAGAUAUAUAUAUAUAUGUGAUAGUUGACAAAUUCAAAAUUAUAACAGUAUUUUGGGCAUUGAGCCUUAUUUAAUAAUGCGGGUAUAUACAUAUUAUACAUAUUAUCAUUUUCCCCCUUUUACAAAAAUUCGGUUUUCCCUCCUUGAAUGUUAUUUCAUACAUAUUACUAAGUAAUAUGUUCUUUGAUACAUCAGAUUGUCAAUUGUAUGUUGUCUUAAUUUUGGUUCCAUUUUGUUUGUUUUCAACAAGAAAGCAUAUCGAUUUAAUUUAUAUGUCAAGAUGAUCUGUCAUUGGGCACAUUUUCUACGUGCAUUAGUUUUUCCCAUAAUGUGCUCAUCAAAGUAUUACAGAGCGAUAUGAUAGUAAUAUUUCUAUUGUUAAUUUCAUUAAUGUAAAUUCACUAGUCCCAUAUAGUUCACCCAAGUUACUCUCAACUGAGAGAAAUUUUGCACUGCCACAAUUUCUUUUCACCGUGUGUAUGCGUGUAUGUAUGUGUGUAUGAUUUAUGUUACGCUUUUGGAAGCAGAGUUAGAAAAUAAUUGUAACUGAACCAAAAGCCUUUGUUUAUACAUGAGCAUGCAGCAAGGGGACCCAAUAUUAUAUUAUCAUCUAUAUGCAAAUGUAAUCAUGUAGGCUUCAUGUAGUUUGCUUGGUAGUUUUGUGGGUUUAAAAAAUGUUAUUGUAGUUUUUUGCCGUCCCAAAGGGCAAGACAGUGGAAUCUAAAGGUAGUGAAUUUGUUGAUUUAUAUUAUGCCAGAGUGAUGUUAAUGUAUUUAUGUUAUGGGCAUUAUUAUUUUUAUCAUUAUUAUUAUUAUUAUUAUUGCAAAGAAAUAGGUGCUUGUAAUUUUUGCUUUGAUUAUUAGUGAAACGUAUCUGAUGUUAACUAAUGUUAUAAAUAAUUAGAUUUUGACAUCACUUUGGCAUUUUAUUAUUUGAUAUGUGAGAGAAACACUUAAUAACUCCAUUUAAGGCCCAACAAUAAUUUGUUUAUUUAUUCAUUUUUUCCAUAAAAAAAUAAAAUUUAGAAGAGUGCAAUCAAAUGGCAAUCUGUGCUUGCUUAUUGUAUGUCAUACAAAUUAUUUUAUAUAUGUCUGUUUGCAUGCCUAUAAUGGCUUGCAUAGCCUAAAAUGUGAGUAAUUUUGUAUUUCUGUCACAGUGAUCGAGUAAUAGAGCAGCAAAAGCAGACAGAUCUUUGUGGAGUUAAAACAAAAACGAAGCCUAUGUAGAGAUCUUUCCUCUCUUGCAAAGGUGCACUAUUAUUUGGAUUGACUGCCACACAGCUGUAGAACAAAAGUUUAAUUUUAUUAAUUUAUUAGUUUUUUAAUAGUUACUAAUAAUUUUUAACAUUCCCUCUUGUAAAAAAUUAUAAAAAAAAUAGUAGUUUAUCUUGAGUGAAGAAUAAAUGUUUUUCCUGCCACAGCUGCAGAGACCUUCCAUGUGUUAUUUUCUUCCUUUCAGGUAAUUAUGCAUGGAAACAAUUUCUUAUUGCUAAUUCAGAACAAAAAGUGAAUGUUUUUAGUGUAUGUUUUAAAUGCAUUUGAGUUGCUACUUGUUUUGACAACUGUGAAUAAAUGUAUAUUUGUAUUUAAUCACUUAAAAAUGCCAAUCUACUCCAAUUCUAUUGGAGUCCUCAAAGUCCCUAUAUUUAUUUCUGUUGGUCAGUAUUGCAUGUUAUUGUUUCCAAAACUGAGUAGUGCCUUAUUGGAGAGUUAAUUUCUUUUUAAAUUAUUAUUAUCAUCAUAAAUGUUGAGAAUAUUAUUAUUAUUAUUUUUUAAUAAUUUUUUCAAUCAUUAUUAAUAUUUAUGAUGUAUGAUGGAAUGAAAGAAUUGUCAUUAUACUAUAGAUAUAUAUAUAUAUAAAAUGUUCAUUCCAAAUGAAUGCUCUAAGCAUGAAUGUUUUAUACAAAUGUACUUAUUAAUAAUAGCAGGUGAACAAAAAUUUACACAGUGCCUGUGAUAAAUGGUACACUAAUAAUGUGUACUUUUGUUAUCAUAUUUAUACAUUUUGUACAGUUUCUGUUAGCUUGUGUGAAAAAUCAUUACAUAGGCAUAGAAUUAUUUCAUCUGUCAAGUUAACUGUGUUAAAAAAAGAAAAAAAAUGAAAGAAAGAUAACGGAUAUAGAAAUUUCUAAUAUAUAGUGGGUGCUUGCCUGGGAGGUCUCUGCAUUGUAUUUGGUUGCCAAAUUUUGCUCCCCAAGAACCACCACCAUUUCUGUAAAUAUGAAUAUACAUGUACACAAACACACACAAACACAUACAAACUACAUAUACAUAGAUAUUAUAUCACAUCUUAUAAUUCAGAAGAAGGUGGUCUGAAUGAAGCAAAAGAGAAAUCAUCCAUUUGUUACGUGUGAAGGAGGACUUUUCAGAUUUUCCUAAGCUGUCUUUCUCAACAAUAAUCACAUUGUAUAGUUGGGCUUUCAAACUGGGGAGCUUGUAUAUUUCUUUUAGCAGCUUCCUUUUAUACUGUUACUGGGAUUUAUACAUAAAAGUGAAAAAAAAUAAUAAUAUUGCUGUAUUACAUUGGCCCUCAGCCAAAGAGUGACAGUAUCUCACCUGUACAUAGGCUUUGUAUCAGAAAUACCUGGGAUGGCAAAAAUUCAUAUUAUUUAGAUUUUUGUGUACUCAUUAAUGGUUAUAUUUAAAUGCUCCUCCCUGUUCCUUGAUUAAAAUUUAAAAAGAUAAAAAUUGAAACAAGGAAUGCUUAAUAAGGGCGGAGAUUCUAAAAAGUUCGUGCUGUCAUAGAUUUUGCUGUGACUUAAGAAAUAAAGAUUGUAUUGACCAAAUUUUCUGUGUUGUUAAUUUAUUUUGAUAAAUAAAAUUUCGAGAUUAAUCUAGGCCAGUAGUUCUCAACCUGAUUUCUUCCCAUCUAUUUUCAAUAUUUGAGAAUGCUGUAAUUGACAAAUAAACCAAAUAAAAAUUAUAAAUACUGUAUUCUAAUAAUUGAUAAACUCAGUUGUGUCUUUUAUAUUUGGUAUUAAAAAUAAAAACUAUUAGUUAACUAAAAUGCAUUUUUUGGUAGAGAUUGUCAGAAAGUAGUUCAAAAAACUAGAAUCUUUGAGAUAAUUAUAAUUGUGAUUUUUAUUAAUGAAAAUGUUGGAAACUACUGAAUUAGGUAAUAUCUCUGAGAAUUUUAUUACUAAACAAAAUAUACACCGUACACGUAUAGAUCGAUGCCAUUUCAAGAUUGCAGUUGCCAUAACGACACACGUUAUAUGCAGUAAGGUACUGAUGCAAAAGCAUUUCUUCAAUAGUUGAGAUUACACGUUUAUUAAUUUUUCAAGAUGUAUAAUGAUAAAAGUUGUGAUUUUGAUGACUGUAAUUGUAUAAAUAAUGUGUUCAGUAGUAUAUUUUCUGUAUCGAAAAUCUUUGGUCUCAAUAUGUUUUCUACCUGCACGAACAACAACAGAUUCAAUAAAAUCGCC